GUUAAUGGGCUAUCCGGUGUUGGUUCUUACAAAUCUACAUGUGCUAUCUCCUACUUUCUGAUUUUAUUUAAUUAUGUUUUCUUUUCUUUUCCUUUCUUUUCUCUUUUUUUCCUUUCUCUCUCUCUGUUUCUCCCUUCCCCUCCCCUCUCUCCUCCCCAUCUCCCGUCUCCUCCAAGGUCUUACUCUGUUGCCCAGGCAGGGAUGCAGUGGUCUCAUCAUUGCUCACUGCAGCCUAUAACUCUGGGGCUUAAGUGAUCCCCCCUGCCUCAGUCUCUGAGUAGUUAGGAUUACUGGUGCAAGCCACUAUGCUGGGCCAUUUUAUUUUAUUUUAUUUUUAAAGUUACUUUAUUUUAUUUGUAGAGAUGGGGGUCUUAGCUUGCCCAGGCUGGUCUCAGACUCCUGGCCUCAAUCAAUUCUCCUGCCUUGUCUCCCAAAGUGUUGGGAUUACAGGUGUGAGCCAUCGCACCAAGCCCUUUCCUCCCAUUUCUUUGGUACUGUUUAUCUCUUUCUGCGGAUCUCAAAGCAAACAUUUCACAGGCCUUUUUUUCUCUUGUGGACUCACAAGGCUUCCUGCUUAUAAUGGCAUCUUUUAAUGAGCACAUCCUGUCUGCUGGUUAGGGUGCUAAGUGCUUCAGGCUGUAAACUCACCCCCGCCCCCCACGGAUUUGGGCAGGUUUUUAUCAGCCCAGAGUUUAAAUAAUAAUUUUUAUGCUUCAGGUGUGGCACACCCUCUGCAGCUGCAGCCAGCACCAUCCAUCCCCUCUUGCAUAAUACCCAGCAGAUGUUGUACGUAGUUAUUUAUAUUACCUUCCUUGUCCCUGUAGACGUUUGACUUUGCAGCCCUUGAUUAGGGGAUGCUGUUUACGUUUCCAAGGUGUCAUACUUCUCCCUUUGGUUGUGGACUUCUGUGGACUUCUCCCUUUGGUUGUGGUUGUAGAGGCAAUGUGGUAUAAUGGCUAAGACCAUAGGCCCUGGAAUUAGACUGCCUGGAUCUGAGUUCUAGCUGUACCAUUUCCUACCUGCCUUGGGUAAGUUACUUUACCUCUCAGACCUUCAGUUAAUGCCAUCUGUGGUGGCAAUAAUAACAGAACCUGCUUCAGAACUGUUACAAGGCGAAAGCACAUAUUUUUACAGAGUGUGUGCUCAAAACAUAUUGGUGAUCAUGACUGCUGGUACUUUGAGGCAGUUGCUACUCAGACUUACUAUAAGGACCUUUGUGGGGCCCUAUUAUGACUCUGGUGGCAGAGCAUCAUUUAACUAUAACACUCUGGAAGAUCUAGAUCAUGACCCCUGUUUUACAAAUGAAGUGUGGUUAGAGUAGCUAAGUAACUUACUAAGGUCACUCAAAGGCCAAACCUGCAUCCAUUGUCUCAACUUUGCCCUUGAUUUGCAAUUUUGCAGAGUUUGGGGUGAAGUUUCCCUUUCCAGCUGCUAUUCACUUGAGACCGCACUACAUAAGGGCUUGCAUCCUAGAAUAAGACUAGUUUUCAGGCAGACUCUAGCCAACUUUAGGAGUCAUUUUCAUAGAUUCUAGUGAUGAUCUUGAAAAUAAUACUUUCACAUAGCCACUGCCUUCUGUUGGAGGGGCUGGUGGCUGCUGGAUUUAUAGCUGCCUGGUCCCUGUUCCUUUGCUCUGUGUAUGUCUACCCACGCACAAAGUCAGUUUCGAUGGCUUCUGACCUUGGCAAAUGAAGUGUUGUUGCCAAGUAACAAGUGGCAUUGUUACUACUGGUUUGAGGCUUUUAUUCCCAAAUUUUAUAAAAGAAAGAUUUAAGCUUUUUUAGCCCGGCUGUCUACCUGCUUUUCAUCUUUGAACCAGAAAAGGACAAAAGAAUCUGAUAGGCUUUGCAGGUUAACUUGUCUGGCGGAUCACAAGGCCAGCAAACUAUUGGCUGGCAUCCUGAAUGAUACUGGAAGCAAAACAGCAAAACUUACCUUUCGUAAAAGACUGUGAAACUUCUAAAAUUCAGGUUGUCAUUUGGAACCAGAGAAGGUCGAGACAGGUGUGGCUGGAACAGAUGGGGAGGAAGAGCUAAGAGCUGCCACAUGGGAGUGAACUUAACACAUCAAGUUCUUCAGUCUGGCAGUGCAAAGGCAUAGCAAAGACAUGAAAUUGGUGCAGUUACACUGUGCCAAAGCUAAACGAGAAUUAUCUCAUGCAUUCCAGUGUGGUAGAUAUUAUUAUUAUGCUCAUUUUUGGAUAAAGAUGGUGAAACUUAGUGAGAUUAGUUGACAUGUAUACUAAACAGUUUUAUAGUUUAUAUUUUACAUUUACAUCUCUGAUCCAUUUUGAGUUAAUUUUUAUUUAAAGAUGAGCUUAGGCUCAGCUUAUUUUGCCACUAUUUGUUGAAGACUGUCCUUCCUCCAUUGAAUGUGUUUGCGCCUUUGUCACUCAUGGAGCGGUCAUUUCCUGUAACAAUGUCCUCUUCUGGAAUGCUUCCUGAAGGACCUGCUUGAGGCUGUUUUACAGUCAAUUAAAAAAAAAAGUCGAAGGAAUACAUUAUAAAAUAAUGAUAUAAAGUAUAAUAUAAUAAAUACAUUAACUGUAACAUUUAUCGUAAUUAUCAGGAUCCCCAGUGUCUAGGGAAGUAGGUGCUGAGUAAGAAUUUGCAAAUGGACUGUAGAUUUCUGUUACAUAGCUAGUCAUGUGUACUAGUAAUCUAAAGAUAUUUUCACUGCUACAGAAAGCCACUGGGGAGCUUGUGAAAGUUCAUAAACUUUUUCCUGCAUGCAAAUGAAACUAAGAGAUCUAGCCCCUCUCUCUUCAGCCAACUUUUGGCUUCAUGUAAUUGUUUACUCAAUUAAGGAAACUUUUCUGGGAGCUCAGAUUGUAGUAGGUUGAAUAUGCUCAAAAGCAUGCUGAAGCCUGCCACCUAACUUGUGGAAAAAAGCUGGCACUUGCUUCAAGUUGGUUGUAAUAACACAACAAAAAUCUCAUAAAGCCUGGAAUUUAAAAAUGAAUAUUCUCUAUUUUAUAUGACAUAGUAAAGACUUACAAAUAGAAUUCUUGUGAGAAUUUUAGUGAAAUGUAGUAAGAAUGCAUAUUUAAUCUGCUUCCUUGAUACAGUCAUAUACUGGGUGAAAGCAAUUGCAUAAUAUAAUACUGUGAAUCAUAAAUCAAUGGAAAAUUGUUAGCAAAUAUAAGUCAGUCUUGUUUAAGGCACCUCUAUUGAUAAGGAGUCUGAUACAGAAUCUGGCUAUGGAAAUCUGGUGUGAAAUAGUGUCCACUGAGAGAAGUUGUGUUGUGGCAGCCCAUUAACUUAGCAUUGAUUUAAACAUAUUUUGUGUUUUGCAUGAGAGCUGUUACUGGAGCCGUGGUUGAACCAAUCAUUGGUUGGUUGGUGAUAAACUAAAUUAUGCCAGCUAUAGCUACCCCAUGUCUUUAUUUGGAAGUGAACUUUAUAUGUUUUCUUUCUCUCUCUCUGUGUUUUUUUUUUUCUCUCUCUCCUUUUAUAAGAUUUUCCCCAGAGCCAGCCACAGCAGGGUUGAGCUCCUUUUCCUUUUGGAAUCUUUUCUCUUUCUGUCCCAUCUCUCUGAUAGAACAGGAAAAGUUCUCAGUUUUUAAUAACUCAUGUGAUUAGAUCCGCCCGACUAGGUAAUCCAGAGUAAUCCCCGUAUCUCAAGGUCCAUACCCUUUAUCAUAAAUUGCAAAAUCCUUUUGUAAUGUAAGGAUCUAAGUGAGGUGCACACAUUGUAUUUGGUUGGUGAUAUGGUUUGGAUCUGUGUCCCCACCAAAUCUCAUGUCAAAUUGUAAUCCCCAGUGUUGGAGUUUGGGCCUUGUGGGAGUGAUUGGAUCAUGCAGGUUCAGCAAUGGUUCACAAAUGGUUCAGCACCAUCCCACUAGGUCCUGUCCUCUCAAUAGUGAGUUCUCGCAAGCUCUGAUUGUUUAAAAGUUGGUAGGUGUUAUAGGCACUUGAUGCUUUCCAUCUUUGUAUGAAUGAAUAAAAGGAGUGAUCUGGUCAGGUUGAAAUGGUCAUCUUGAAAUGUGGAAAAGAACUUCUGAAAAAUCAUAUUUGUCUCAGGGUUUAUUAGUGUGUCUAAGCCAUCAUGCCUUGUUAGGGUUUGAGUUGCCUUAUCAUCACUGACAUCUCACUCUCUGCCCUCUGGUAUCUUAGCUGCUUGUCUUAAAUUUUGCCCACAUCUGAAUAUGUGAAGUCCUAGGGGAACCAAGCAUCCCCUUUGCCCAGGUAAAUUGAUGACUGUAUUGUGAUGAUGAUGUUGCUUCUUUUGGUUUGACAUUGGCUGUAGGUUCGGAGUGAUUUCUGUGCUUUGUCAUAAUAGCUGCUAGAGCCAUGCUGGUGGAAUAAAAGUUGAAACUCCUCAGUAAGAUGUAUGAGUUCUUCAGUGACUACUUCCUGCUUAUUCUCUGGCCUCAUCUUGAACUCCCUGCCUUCCCCUUGAGUUAUUAAACGUUGGGUUCCUCCUUCAUGCAGUGUUUUGUCCAUUGCUGCGCUGUUGUACAAGGCAUUUCUUGGGCCAGCAGUGCUCUCAACUCCUUACCCUCUGCCCCUCUGCAUCUUCUGUGGCUAACGUGGAUUCACUGUUUGGGCUGCAUCUUCUGGGAAGUCUUUCCUUUCUCCCACGUCUGGGUUGGACCCCCCUAUUUGUUCUGACUGCACGCUGUGCUUACUCUCUUUAACACUCAGCCCUUUAUUCAGCUGUAAAUCUAGAUGCUGUUCCAUCAGACCAGGAAACUUACCAUGUUUAUUAUCAGGUCUCCAGCACCUGGUAUGGUGCUUGGCAAAUGGAGCCUCAUUUGUGUAUAUUUUUAUGUAACAUGAUUUAUAAUGGCUGCAUAAUAGUCCUUAGCAUCUAACCAUUUUGUGUUUGCUGCUUAAGCAGUAGCAUCAUUUCCGUACCCAUAAUUUUAUGAGGAUGGCUAAGUCUGGGAUGAAUGGGAGCAAGACCUGUCUAUUGGGAUUCAUUCAUUACUCCUGCAAGAUGAGUUAGAUGCCAACAAAAGACACACACACACACACACACACACACACACACACACACACACAGAUGAGAUGAUCUUUUGAGUGGAGUUUUGGAGAGUGUGUUGAAGUCACCAUGGAAGGAAAAUGGUUAGGCAUUCGGUACUUGAGGCAGGAAACUAGGCAUUCUUCAGUCAUCCAUUCAGUCAGCCAUUUAAUAUUUACCUAAUUCAGUGUUUGUUUUAUGCCAGGUAUUGUGUACUUGAUAGAUGUUACAGGAAUGAACAAAAGAAAGAUGGUACUUGCCUGAGUGUUGCUACCAGAUAAUUGAACUGAAUUGAUAUGAACAAUUUGCAAGAGCCACUGCUUUCUGAACCCCAGGGUGCAAUGUGGAUUUGGGCACAUUUUUAGAGGGCCUUGAAGUAAUUCUAAAGGACUUUUUAUUUUUCUAGACAUUUCUUACACAGAUGCUCUGUUUACCAUCUUUUAUUUUUAAUUACACGAGUAACUCAUGAAUGCGUUCACAUGGUGAAAAAUUACAACCCCAAGGAGGAAUGGAGAGUUGCCUCCAUCUUCCUUGUCUCCCCCAUCCCUCCCAUCAAAUAGAAUUUAGAAUUCUCCUAUCAGAAUAACCAUUUUGUUCAGACCUUUUCUGAUAGGAUAUGGAAAGGAGGGAGGGAAGGAGGAGAAUUUUAAGGGCAGAAUUGUACCUCAAAUGCUAAGAAUAAUGCGUUGCACAUAGUAGGCUCUCAGAAAAAUUUUAACUGAAUGAAGAUGUUUUAGGGCAGUGGUCCCCAACCUUUUUGGCACCAGGGACCGGUUUCAUGGAAGUCAAAUUUUCCAGGAGGUUGAGUGGGGCAGGGAGCAUGGUUUCAGGAUGAAACUGUUCCACCUCAGACCAUCAAGC
This 5826-nucleotide long non-coding RNA is filed under the name Homo sapiens (human). RNAcentral describes it as "HSALNT0312262". Lineage: Eukaryota; Metazoa; Chordata; Mammalia; Primates; Hominidae. The record is from RNAcentral.